UGGGGUUUGGGCAGAUUCCAAAGGUUUAUGUGUUCAAGGGGUCAAAGGAAGUUUCUAAAGAUCAAGUGUUGGAGCAAAUGGGCUUCUUUGCAAAUAAGCUUAAACCAACCACAGGUGUCAUUGCUGGGGUUAGAGAUGGACUUUCUCAAGAGAGUAUUUCUAGGUUUUUGUUGCCUGCAUCUGAGUGCGAGUUUACACUCAACUCGAUAUUAGAGGAGCUUCAAAGAGAUCCUUGGCCCGUGCCAGCUGAUCAUCGAGCUGCACGGUGCACUGGUACAGCAUUGAGUGUGGCUUCUCAUUUGUUGGGUAUAUGUGUUCCAGGUUCUGGGGCCAGAAUUAUGGCAUUCUUAGGUGGGCCCUCAACAGAAGGGCCAGGUGCUAUUGUGUCGAAGAUUUUAUCUGAGCCCAUAAGGUCUCACAAGGAUCUGGACAAAGAUUCUGCACCAUUGUAUCAUAAGGCUGUGAAGUUUUACGAGGGAAUUUCAAAGCAACUUGUGCAUCAAGGGCAUGUGUUGGAUGUUUUUGCUUGUGCACUUGAACAGGUCGGCCUUGCUGAAAUUAAAGUUGCAUGUGAGAAAACUGGUGGACUUGUUGUUCUUGCAGAAAGUUUUGGCCAUAGUGUUUUCAAGGAUUCUCUGAAACAAGUUUUCCAGUCAGGUGGCAAUGAUCUUGGACUGGCAUCAAACGGUAUUUUUGAGGUAAAUUGCUCAAAAGAUAUCAAAGUUCAGG
RNAcentral lists this unclassified non-coding RNA (729 nucleotides) under Hevea brasiliensis (rubber tree). The record is from RNAcentral. Lineage: Eukaryota; Viridiplantae; Streptophyta; Magnoliopsida; Malpighiales; Euphorbiaceae.